UACGUAGGGGGCAAGCGUUGUCCGGAUUUAUUGGGCGUAAAGAGCGUGUAGGCGGCUAGGUAGGUCCGUUGUGAAAACUCGAGGCUCAACCUCGAGACGCCGAUGGAAACCAUCUGGCUAGAGUCCGGAAGAGGAGAGUGGAAUUCCUGGUGUAGCGGUGAAAUGCGCAGAUAUCAGGAAGAACACCAAUUGCGAAGGCAGCUCGCUGGGACGUUACUGACGCUGAGACGCGAAAGCGUGGGGAGCAAACAGG
This 253-nucleotide ribosomal RNA is filed under the name uncultured bacterium. Its description in RNAcentral is "partial 16S ribosomal RNA". It matches the Rfam family "Bacterial small subunit ribosomal RNA", at positions 524 to 776 of the family's 1533-position model. The record is from RNAcentral.